UAUACUGGACACGCAGGGUGCUGUAGGA
This 28-nucleotide small RNA is filed under the name Bombyx mori (domestic silkworm). Its description in RNAcentral is "ovarian small RNA-23355". Lineage: Eukaryota; Metazoa; Arthropoda; Insecta; Lepidoptera; Bombycidae. The record is from RNAcentral.